RNAcentral lists this small nuclear RNA (321 nucleotides) under Castor canadensis (American beaver). RNAcentral's name for it is "7SK RNA (ENSCCNG00000021760.1)". It matches the Rfam family "7SK RNA". From Rfam's summary of the family: 7SK was discovered as an abundant small nuclear RNA in the mid-70s but a possible function has only recently been suggested. Two independent studies have found that 7SK RNA binds the CDK9/cyclin T complex (known as elongation factor P-TEFb). Lineage: Eukaryota; Metazoa; Chordata; Mammalia; Rodentia; Castoridae. The record is from Rfam by way of RNAcentral.
GAAUCUGAGGGUGAUUUGGCUGCCAUGUCUGUCACCCCAUUGAUUGCCAGAGUGCAUUUGAGCUAAUCAUGCUGGUUUAGUGGGUAUCCCCUUCCUUCCUUAUAGCUCUAUAUGGUCUCUUCCAAAGCUGAGCACUUCAUGGAAGAGUACAGAGACCUUCCCAGGAAGAAGAGGACUAUUCUUUCAUCACAGGCAUAUGAAUAGCUGUGCUCCCCUGAUAGAAAUUGCAAAUAAGCUUUUGAGGUCAAAUUCAUUUCAUAAGGUUUGUAUGACCUUGAAAACAAACUAGACAGUACAGAAAAUGAAACUUGACAUAUAUUG